AAGUCGUAACAAGGUUUCCGUAGGUGAACCUGCGGAAGGAUCAUUAAUGAAUUUUAGGACGUUCUUUUUAGAAGUCCGACCCUUUCAUUUUCUUACACUGUGCACACACUUCUUUUUUACACACACUUUUAACACCUUAGUAUAAGAAUGUAAUAGUCUCUUAAUUGAGCAUAAAUAAAAAUAAAA
Molecule: unclassified non-coding RNA, 186 nt
Filed under: plant metagenome
Description: partial contains small subunit ribosomal RNA and internal transcribed spacer 1
Rfam family: Eukaryotic small subunit ribosomal RNA (bases 1-46)
Source: RNAcentral